This is a long non-coding RNA of Photinus pyralis (common eastern firefly), 179 nucleotides long. RefSeq lists it as uncharacterized. The record is from RefSeq and is a predicted model, not a curated record. The transcript is spliced from 3 exons. Lineage: Eukaryota; Metazoa; Arthropoda; Insecta; Coleoptera; Lampyridae.
UUCUUUGCAGAUUGAUUCAGACGUUCGGAGCCUCGAUGGAAAUUUGCAUGUGGGAACAUUACUGCAUUUUGAGCUAUUUGUUCAGGAGACUGCGCAUACACGCACACCGUAUAUUAAGUGGAGCCCAUCUUUUGGAAUUGAAUUUUGAUUGGAACUCUCUCAAACACACAUCUCAUAGG